RNAcentral lists this ribosomal RNA (253 nucleotides) under uncultured bacterium. Its description in RNAcentral is "partial 16S ribosomal RNA". It matches the Rfam family "Bacterial small subunit ribosomal RNA", at positions 524 to 776 of the family's 1533-position model. The record is from RNAcentral.
UACGAAGGGGGCUAGCGUUGUUCGGAAUUACUGGGCGUAAAGGGCGCGUAGGCGGUGUGUCAAGUCAGGCGUGAAAGCCCCGGGCUCAACCUGGGAACAGCGCUUGAGACUGGCACGCUCGAGUUCGGGAGAGGAUGGUGGAAUUCCCAGUGUAGAGGUGAAAUUCGUAGAUAUCGAGAGGAACACCGGUGGCGAAGGCGGCCUUCUGGACAGUGACUGACGCUGAGACGCGAAAGCGUGGGGAGCAAACAGG